RNAcentral lists this ribosomal RNA (373 nucleotides) under uncultured bacterium. RNAcentral describes it as "bacterial SSU rRNA". It matches the Rfam family "Bacterial small subunit ribosomal RNA", at positions 29 to 430 of the family's 1533-position model. The record is from RNAcentral.
AACGAACGCUGGCGGCAGGCCUAACACAUGCAAGUCGAACGCUCCGCAAGGGGAGUGGCGCACGGGUGAGUAACACGUGGGAACCUACCUUCUGGUACGGAACAACCAAGGGAAACUCUGGCUGAUACCGUAUACGACCUCCGGGUGAAAGAUUGAUCGCCGGAAGAGGGGCCCGCGUCCGAUUAGGUAGUUGGUGAGGUAACGGCUCACCAAGCCUGCGAUCGGUAGCUGGUCUGAGAGGAUGACCAGCCACACUGGGACUGAGACACGGCCCAGACUCCUACGGGAGGCAGCAGUGGGGAAUAUUGGACAAUGGGCGGCAAGCCUGAUCCAGCCAUGCCGCGUGAGUGAUGAAGGCCUUCGGUUGUAAGUA